UCACUGGUUCAGCGGUAGAAUUCUCGCCUGCCACGUGGGCAGCCCGGGUUCGUUUCCCGGCCAAUGCA
This 68-nucleotide transfer RNA is filed under the name Ancylostoma ceylanicum. RNAcentral's name for it is "tRNA-Gly". The stretch from base 5 to 60 matches the Rfam family "tRNA", at positions 8 to 63 of the family's 71-position model. From Rfam's summary of the family: Transfer RNA (tRNA) molecules are approximately 80 nucleotides in length. Their secondary structure includes four short double-helical elements and three loops (D, anti-codon, and T loops). Lineage: Eukaryota; Metazoa; Nematoda; Chromadorea; Rhabditida; Ancylostomatidae. The record is from RNAcentral.